RNAcentral lists this transfer RNA (122 nucleotides) under marine sediment metagenome. It matches the Rfam family "tRNA". From Rfam's summary of the family: Transfer RNA (tRNA) molecules are approximately 80 nucleotides in length. Their secondary structure includes four short double-helical elements and three loops (D, anti-codon, and T loops). Further hydrogen bonds mediate the characteristic L-shaped molecular structure. tRNAs have two regions of fundamental functional importance: the anti-codon, which is responsible for specific mRNA codon recognition, and the 3' end, to which the tRNAs corresponding amino acid is attached (by aminoacyl-tRNA synthetases). tRNAs cope with the degeneracy of the genetic code in two manners: having more than one tRNA (with a specific anti-codon) for a particular amino acid; and 'wobble' base-pairing, i.e. permitting non-standard base-pairing at the 3rd anti-codon position. The record is from RNAcentral.
GUGGGGGUAGCCAAGCUUGGCCAACGGCGCAGGACUUAAGAUCUUGGAGCUGAAAGAGUUCAUCAGGCCAGAUAGGACAUCCUGUCCUUAGUGGUUCGGGGGUUCAAAUCCCCUCCCCCACA